UACGGAGGGUGCGAGCGUUGUCCGGAAUCACUGGGCGUAAAGGGCGCGUAGGUGGCCGAGCAAGGUCGCGGUGAAAGCCCGGGGCUCAACCCCGGGUCGGCCGUGGCAACUACUUGGCUUGAGCACUGUAGGGGCGGGUGGAAUUCCGGGUGUAGUGGUGGAAUGCGUAGAGAUCCGGAGGAACACCAGCGGCGAAGGCGGCAUCCUGGACUGGUCCUGACACUCAGGAGCGAAAGCGUGGGGAGCGAUCCGG
Molecule: ribosomal RNA, 253 nt
Filed under: uncultured bacterium
Lineage: Bacteria
Description: partial 16S ribosomal RNA
Rfam family: Bacterial small subunit ribosomal RNA
Source: RNAcentral